UUGGGAAUCUUGGACAAUGGGGGAAACCCUGAUCCAGCCAUGCCGCGUGAGUGAUGAAGGCCUUCGGGUUGUAAACUCUUUCGCGCACGACGAUAAUGACGGUAGUGCGAGAAGAAGCUCCGGCUAACUUCGUGCCAGCAGCCGCGGUAAUACGAAGGGGGCUAGCGUUGUUCGGAAUUACUGGGCGUAAAGCGCGCGCAGGCGGCUAUCCAAGUCAGUGGUGAAAGCCCGGAGCUCAACUCCGGAACUGCCAUUGAAACUGUUUAGCUUGAGUAUGAGAGAGGUGAGUGGAAUUCCCAGUGUAGAGGUGAAAUUCGUAGAUAUUGGGAAGAACACCGGUGGCGAAGGCGGCUCACUGGCUCAUUACUGACGCUCAGGCGCGACAGCGUGGGGAUCAAACAGGAUUAGAUACCCUGGUAGUCCACGCCGUAAACGAUGAAUGCUAGCCGUUGGGCAGCUUGCUGUUCAGUGGCGCAGCUAACGCAUUAA
This 489-nucleotide ribosomal RNA is filed under the name uncultured bacterium. Its description in RNAcentral is "bacterial SSU rRNA". It matches the Rfam family "Bacterial small subunit ribosomal RNA", at positions 355 to 863 of the family's 1533-position model. The record is from RNAcentral.